UCUAAGGGGGGGGCGGAGGGAGGAGGGUCACAGCUGAGUCGAGAACUGUGAUACUUGAAAAUAGAAAGCUAAAAGUAAGGAUGUUUUUAUUUCAUACUUAGCUGGAUGAAUGAUAUUCAUCAACCUACUUUUCUCACCUUUUGAAAUUGCUACCUAAUAAAAACAGAAAAGAACUGGAGGGACAGGACACAAAUAACUACCGGAAGAAUGAUACAGAUCGGACCUAAAGCUAAAUAUUGUACACCAUCUGAGACUUCCUCCACAAAUGUCAAAUGGCCACCAAUGCUGCAACAAACUGACAAAAGACACGAGCCAAUAGCAGUUGCAAUAGAAAGAUAAUUAUCAGCUGACCCCUAUCAACAAGAGACAUCACGAAAUAGCCCUUUUGAUUCAUCAUAAAUCCAUUUGCAUAUGUAAAGAGGUUGUGAUACAUCAUUAGACCCCUUUGCUAGGCGAGCUCUCCUCUCACUUUCCUCGGUAAACUUUCGUGGAGGAUGUACUUCGCAUGGACCUUGUAUCAAGCCAGCCAUUACUAUGCUACUAUAAGUAGACAAAUAAACCUCAUUAUUGUUCUCCAAGCAUGGGCGGCCUACAGACUGUGGUAAUUCACGUGCAAAGUAACAUUGAUUGAUAGAAACCCACUUUGUUCCCGCUUUUUUGUCCUCCCACAUAGCCAGAAGUUUUGAAGGAAUCAAUCGCUCAUUCUCAAAACGUAUAAGAGCAUAGUCCUGAACACUAUAUAUGAAUCCAUUAAUGCGGCAAGAUUGAUAAUAAUACUUGUCAUCUGCAACUUGAAG
RNAcentral lists this unclassified non-coding RNA (797 nucleotides) under Hevea brasiliensis (rubber tree). Lineage: Eukaryota; Viridiplantae; Streptophyta; Magnoliopsida; Malpighiales; Euphorbiaceae. The record is from RNAcentral.